UUCCUCAUUUUUUCCCAAUUUUUUCCCGAUUUUUUCCUCAUUUUUUCCCGAUUUUUUCCUCAUUUUUUCCCAAUUUUUUCCUGAAUUUUUCCUGAAUUUUUCCUGAAUUUAUCCUGAAUUUUUCCUCAUUUUUCCCCCAUUUUCCCUGAUUAUUUUCCUGAUUUUUUCCUGAUGGUUUCCUGAUUAUUUUCCUGAUUUUUCCCUGAUCAUUUUCCUCAUUUUUCCUGAUUUUUUCCUGAUUUUUUCCUGAUUUUUUUCUUGAUUUUUUUUUCCUUGAUUUUUUCCUGUUUAUUUUCCUGAUUUUUCCCUCAUUUUUCCUGAUUAUUUUCCUGAUUUUUCCCCUGAAUUUUUAAUGAUUUUUCCUGAUUAUUUUCCUAAUUUUUCCUGUUUAUUUCCUGAUUAUUUUCUUUAUUAUUUCCUGUUUGUUUUCCCUGAUUUUUCCCGAUUUUUUCCUGAUUUUUUCCUCAUUUAUUCCUCAUUUAUUCUUGAUUUUUCCCCUCAUCUUUUCCUCUUUUUUCCUGAUUAUUUUCCUGAUUUUUUCUUCAUUUUUUCCUCAUUUAUUCUUGAUUUUUCCCCUCAUCUUUCUUUUCCUCAUUUUUCCUGAUUUUUUUCCAGAUUUUUUCCUCAUUUUUUUCCUGUUUAUUUUCCUGAUUUUUUCCUGAUUAUUUCCUGAUUAUUUCCUUUAUUAUUUCCUCAUUUUUUCCCUGAUUUUUCCUGAUUUUUUCCUGAUUAUUUUCCCGAUUUUUUCCUGAUUUAUUCCUCAUUUAUUCUUGAUUUUUCCCCUCAUAUUUUCCUCAUUUUUCCUGAUUAUUUUCCUGAUUUUUUCCUCGUUUAUUCUUAAUUUUUCCCCUCAUCUUUCCCUCAUUUUUUCUGAUUUUUUCCUGAUUUUUUCCUGUUUAUUUUCCUGAUUAUUUCCUCAAUUUUUCCUGAUUAUUUUCCUGAUUUUUCCCUGAUAAUUUCCCUCAUUUUUCCCUGAUUCUUCCUCAUUUUUCCUGAUUUUUCUCCUGAUUUUUCCUCUUUUUUUUUCCUGUUUAUUUUCCUGAUUUUUUCUUCAUUUAUUCCUCAUUUAUUCUUGAUUUUUCCCCUCAUCUUUUCCUCAUUUUUCCUGAUUUUUUCCUGAUUUUUUCCUGAUUUUUUCCUGUUUAUUUUCCUAUUUUUUCCUAAUUUUUUUCCUGUUUUUUUUCCUGAUUAUUUUCCUGAUUUUUUCCUGAUUUUUUCCCCUGAAUUUUUAAAGAUUUUUCCUGAUUAUUUUCCUGAUUAUUUUCCUCAUUUUUUCCUGAUUAUUUUCCUGAUUUUUCCCUGAUAUAAUUUUCCUGAUUUUUUCCUCAUUUUUCCCUGAUUUUUUUCCUCAUUUUUCCUGAUUAUUCCCUCAUUUUUUCCUGAUUAUUUUCCCGAUUUUUUCCUGAUUUUUUCCUCAUUUAUUCUUGAUUUUUUCCCUCAUCUUUUCCUCAUUUUUCCUGAUUUUUUCCUGAUUAUUUUCUUUAUUAUUUCCUCAUUUUUUUCCCUGAUUUUUAUGGGCUAAAAACUCAAAUUUUUCAUUUUUUCCAGCUGCUCUCCUUUCCCAGGAAUUCUGUGGAAUUCUGGAAUUUUGCAAUUCCAGAAUA
Molecule: long non-coding RNA, 1604 nt
Organism: Zonotrichia albicollis (white-throated sparrow)
Lineage: Eukaryota; Metazoa; Chordata; Aves; Passeriformes; Passerellidae
Source: Ensembl